CUCUUUUCACCUUGUUAAUCACUCACUGAUAAGCUUUGUCCUCUGGCCACCACCUUUGAAGUGUUUGAGCCUCCUGGCAGUUUGGGGGAAUGAAACUGUACAGUAGAGGCAGAUGGAGUUAGUGGGAGCUUCAGCUGAUUAGCUACACGAGUCCAUGUGACCAGAUGGGAGGAAUUCAAGGAUGUCAGAGGACCUGGCCGAUGUCACUGCAAAGCCAUUCUCUGUCACUGGUCACAGUGGAAGUUCCUAAUGACAGAAAAAAAGGCAAAUGUCACAGCUAUAUCCUCAGGAAGGGCAAGAAGGAAGACUGGGAAACUAGAGGCUGAUCAACAACACCAUUGGUCCAUGAGAAGGUGAUAGAACAAAUCCUCUUACAAGCCAUUUCCAAGCACAGGAAGGAUGAGAAGUUGAUUGGCAACAUGAAUUUACUGAGGACAAAAUCUACCCUUACACCUUGAAUGCAUUCUAUGAUGUUAUGACUGUCUGUGUGGAUGAAGAGUGAGAAGUGGACAUUGUGUUCCUAGACUUAACCAGUAGACCGUGCCUAUCACAUGCUGGACUGUGGGACUCAUAAAGCUCAAGUUACUCAGAACAAAUUUUACGUACAAUACGUAUUUUAAGCAAAGGGCUUGUGGAAAUCGUCACCAGGAGGAAAAAAUGUAUUCAGGUGGACUACACAAAUAUGUGUGUGCAGCCAUACCCAUGCAUUUUGGAGACAUAACCAUGUUGAGACCUAUGUUUUCCUCCUUCUGUGAUUCUGAAGAUCUUCUACAGCAUCACUUCAAGGUUUUACACCUGAAACGGGUUCAUUUUCACUUGUCUGAUGCACAUUUCCAGCCAGCAGCCGGGAGACCGAAGAGGAUUCAAUCCGCAAUUGUUCUGAAAGCACACAAACUGAAUAAAUGUUUAUAACCCUAAAUGGUGUCACCGCAGCAGAUGAAUGGCAGCAGAACAAUGGGCACCGAUGCACUCUUCAGGCCGCAGCCAAGUUCCCUAGCAACUACAGAGGAGCUGUGCAGCCUGCAGAGGUACUGUGAGUGCCAGCAGGCCGUUAUCUGAGAAAUGACUGAGAAAUGAUCUUAGUGCCGUAUUUCAUUGAGGAGAUACCAUUAAUCAAUUGCCUGUUUGUAAUUCACGGAUACCACUUUUUCCCUUUGGGUAAACUAUUAGGGGAUUGUGAAUUGUUCUUUACACACAUCUGGAAGUAGAUCGCCAACAUGUAGCUUUACUUCUACCCUGACAAACACUGCUUUCAGUCCGAUUUGACUGUCCGAUUUGACUUUUCCGUUGACCCCCUGCCUCCCUUCUCCAGUGUUUCAGCACAGCUGGAAGAAUUCAACUCUUCAACUUCAGAAGGUUUGCUUGGAAGCAGGGAAGCAGUGGGCAAUGCCACAUCACACCAGUCACUUGCCACAGAAACCUCCUAACUGCUGUCUUCUGUAUCUGCACAAGCUGUCAUGCUUAUUGUUGCACCAGGAGAGAUCUUGCACAGCAGCAGUGGAGCUGGGGGAAGGCUGUAUCUCCCCAGGCUAAUCUGGUUAACCAUGAAAGCUGUCAGGACUUGUUCACCCGCAGCAAAAGACUCAUCCUGGUCACUAUAAAAGAACAAAACUGCCAUGCAGCAAGAGCUCCCCACUCAAGCUUGUGGCUCACCCUAAAAUGCAGCUGAAAGCACUCUCUCGUGCAGAGCCCAACCCCUAAAUCUCCAUCACAUGGGAAAGUUCCCCACAGCUGUGACUGUUACAGGCUUCCCUGUUGCUUCACGUGUCCUUUCCAACACUUGCUGAACCAUCAUAAGCUGUUGUUUCAGAUCACACGCACACAUGGCUUUACAAAAGGCAAAGCAUCUCUUUAAACAAUAAGCUUUUCAUAGAACCAUAGAAACAUAGAAUGGCUUGCGUUAGAAGAGACUUCAAAGGUCAUCUGAUUCCAACCCACCAGCUCAGGCUGCCCAGGGCCCAUUCCAACCUGGCCUUGAGCACCUCCAGGGAUGGGGCACCACAGCUUCUCUGGGCAGCUGUGCCAGCGCUUCACUGCCCUCUGAGUAAAAAGUUUCCCCCUAAUAUCCCACCUAAAUCUCCCCUCUUUUAGUUUAAAGCCAUUCCUGCUUGUCCUAUCACUAUAAGACCAUGUAAAAAAUUGGUCUCCCUUCUGCUAAUAAACUUCUUCUAAGCACGGCAAGGCCACUAUCAGGUCUCUCUGGAGCUUUCUCUUCUCCAGGCAGCUCAAGCCCAGUUCCCUCAGCCUGUCUUCACAGGAGAGGUGCUCCAACCCUCUGAUCAUCUUCCUGCUGUUGUCUGGACCCACUCCAACAUCUCCACAUCCCUUCUACGCUGGGGACCCCAGGCCUGGACGCAGUACUCCAAGUGGAGCCUCACGAGGGCAGAGCAAAGAGGGACAUUCACUUCCCUCCCCCCCGCUGGCCACCCCUUCUUUUGCCGCAGCCCAGUGUACAAUGAGGUAACCCUUCCCUGCGAGCUCCCUCGGCUACGCCCGACACCUGGGCCAAGGGAGGCGCCCUUCCCGAGGGGCCACCUGCGCCCAUCCGGGGCCGGCGCGAUGCGGCCGGAAGGGGGCGCCGCCGUCCCGCCUGUAGAACCGGAGCAGAACAUGGCGAGUAGCCCGGCGCUUCGCCAGGGCCCCGGGCAGGGGGAGGGCGACCGUGGCUCUCUUUCGCGGCUGCCCUCCGCAGCAGAAGCCAACAGAACCGUGUGGGUGUGGCACUGAGGGACGUGGUCAGUGGGCAUGGCGGGGAUGGGAUGACACUUGGGCUAGGUGACCUUAGAUGUCUCUUCCAACCUUAAUGAAUCUGUGAUUCUAUAUUUGAGAAGUUAAAAACAGUUGAAACAAGGAUUGUGGGAUUGUGGAUGUUACCUGCUUUCACCGUUCCUUUGUCGUUAAAUGUCUGGCAUUCACAUAUUAGUAUGUGGCUGGCUAACGAGGAAGUGAAAUAUUAAUUUCUCCUCAGUCAGGAAGCUCCUGGAUGGAAGUUCACCUCAGUCAAGUCUCACUUUGAGAGCUUAAUUCUGAUCUGUCCAGCUUUGUGAUUACUUGCUCUCAUACUAUGCAUUGGAGUCACACACUGCUUUGCUAUAGGACUGAAAGAGUUCAAAUUUUAAGGUAGUUUUCAAAUCAAAUUCAUGGUUUGGGUUGAAAGGGAGCUCACAGCCCACCCACCCCAACCUGUGCCGUGGGCAGGGCUGCCCCCCACCAGCUCAGGCUGCCCAGGGCCCCAUCCAACCUGGCCUUGAGAGCCUCCAGGGAUGGGGCACCACAGCUUCUCUGGGCAGCUGUGCCAGCGCCUCACCGCCCUCUCAGCAAAAAGUUUCCACCAACAUCUAAUCUAAAUGUGGCACUUCAGUGGAUUGUGUUAAAUAAAUACUUAAAUAAAUAAAAUUCCAAACUCGUUAAUGGCCACUCUUCUAUGUCUAGACCAGUCUGUGGCCUUACUCUCUCCACCUAGUCCUGUUCGUCCACUUUCUAACCUGGGAUAUUGCUUCCUGAAUUCUCAGCUGUAAUCUGCAGGCCCUCUCUGGACAGCAUGUCUCUGCAGUGGUUGUUUAUAUGGUGUCCUCUGUAGUGGUGUUCUUUCCUAAAGGUUCAUGGUGUAGUAAUAAAUUCUUUGAAAGACGCCGUCAGAGGAGGUCAUGGGAGCAAAGACACACGCAAGGAAUUGAUGGCACUUCAGCAUUUUGCUAGUAAAGACACAAGCUGUCCUGUAGGAACAGGAAAGCUAUUGUUGGACUGAAUCCGCCUGUCUUCCUCUGGUGCCAGCACUCCACAAAGCGUGCAUUUUGUGACUGUAAUGCUAUUCAGCCUCGCAAAAGGUACAGCCUGGGACCAAUCGGAGAACAUGAUUAAAUGCUCAGCUUCCAUCCCUCAUAUAAAGGUCGUGUAUUUGUAUUCCAGCUAAGUCAGCCGUCAGCGUUUGUAAAGUGUCUGAUGUUCUCUUAUUGCUGUGCAAACAAUGGCAAAACCAAAACAGAAUUAAAUUUCAAUUAAUCUGAGACAUUCAUAACAGGCAUUAGAACAAUAAGCAUGUUUUGUUAUUAACCUUCCUCCUUCAUAUGAGAUUUUGACCUCUUUAUACUAAUCUGAUUUUAUUUGUCAAAUUAACUGUAGAAUUCAAUAUUAGUAGUCCCAGACAAUGACUCAAGCUUCAUCACCUCCUAUUCCCUCUUUGUGGGAAAAAGAAGGUAAUUAUUACUUUUAAAAAUAAUAACAACCUUGGAGUGAAGUUUCAUUUCUUAUUUCUUAAUGACGAGACCCUUUUUUUCUCUUGCUGUUUUUUAACCUUUAGAAUGGAUUUUCCUUUUCAAACUCUGUUUUUUUUUUUUUUUCUGAGCAUUUUUGAGGUCUGGAAACAUUUCUUUUUUCGUAAUGGAACCUGAGAUUCCUGACUAAUGACUUGCCUUUGGGAGCUGAGAUUUUAAUUAAAAAAGAAAAAAAAAAAAAAACCACCCAAAGUGGGGCAGUUGUGAUAAAAUCAUAAGAAUUGGCAAUAUAUUUAUGUGUCUACGCCAGGUAGGGAAGCAUUGUGAAGGAGAAGAAAACUGCCUGACUGUAAGCAGACCUUCUUGAUGAUGAAACCCUGCAGGGCUAUGGCCAGCUAUGGCACCUGUAAGACAUAGAGGGGUGGUUACAGAGCAAGUGCAGGAGAGUGAUAUCUUCAGCCACGAGGACUGCUUUGUAUCAUGUUCUUCACUGAGAUAAACAUCUCCUCCUAGCAGCUCCUUAUCUGCUGAUAAUCUUGCCAUAUCCCAGUCCACAUCUGAAGUGCAUGCACGUUUUGGGGCAAGGGUAGUGCUGGCUGGGACUCUGCCCAGUUCCAAGUAGGUACAAGAGGCUCGGGGCCAACUGUUUAUUGGGCUGUACUAUUUAUACAGUAAUUCUCGACUUGCUUGGAACAAGGGACAGAUCAAGGCUUAAUCCCCUUUCCCGGACAACCCUAUUACCUAACACCAAGAGUGGUAGAAAAGUCCUAAUCUUCAGAGGGAGAGGGACAGUAAAAGUUCCUCUAUCAGAGAUUGUUAAGAUAGCCCAGAACAAAGCCUUAGAGAGCUAUUGGCUACAGUGCGCCUGAAAAGGAGAUAACCCAGCAGAUGUCUGGGUUUGCAUUGCGGUGUAAUUACAGGUGAGCUUUAAAGUCACUGGGAAUCAGCUGACUGUUCUGGGAAGAACAGCAGCGGUAUGUUGCUGCUGUGCCUGUUUCAGCACAAAAGCACACAUCUCAUGAACAGGCACG
This is a long non-coding RNA of Gallus gallus (chicken), 5245 nucleotides long. Lineage: Eukaryota; Metazoa; Chordata; Aves; Galliformes; Phasianidae. The record is from Ensembl.